This 981-nucleotide ribosomal RNA is filed under the name human gut metagenome. RNAcentral describes it as "bacterial LSU rRNA". It matches the Rfam family "Bacterial large subunit ribosomal RNA", at positions 1950 to 2925 of the family's 2925-position model. The record is from RNAcentral.
CCUAAGGUAGCGAAAUUCCUUGUCGGGUAAGUUCCGACCUGCACGAAUGGCGUAAUGAUGGCCAGGCUGUCUCCACCCGAGACUCAGUGAAAUUGAACUCGCUGUGAAGAUGCAGUGUACCCGCGGCAAGACGGAAAGACCCCGUGAACCUUUACUAUAGCUUGACACUGAACAUUGAGCCUUGAUGUGUAGGAUAGGUGGGAGGCUUUGAAGUGUGGACGCCAGUCUGCAUGGAGCCGACCUUGAAAUACCACCCUUUAAUGUUUGAUGUUCUAACGUUGGCCCGUAAUCCGGGUUGCGGACAGUGUCUGGUGGGUAGUUUGACUGGGGCGGUCUCCUCCUAAAGAGUAACGGAGGAGCACGAAGGUUGGCUAAUCCUGGUCGGACAUCAGGAGGUUAGUGCAAUGGCAUAAGCCAGCUUGACUGCGAGCGUGACGGCGCGAGCAGGUGCGAAAGCAGGUCAUAGUGAUCCGGUGGUUCUGAAUGGAAGGGCCAUCGCUCAACGGAUAAAAGGUACUCCGGGGAUAACAGGCUGAUACCGCCCAAGAGUUCAUAUCGACGGCGGUGUUUGGCACCUCGAUGUCGGCUCAUCUCAUCCUGGGGCUGUAGCCGGUCCCAAGGGUAUGGCUGUUCGCCAUUUAAAGAGGUACGUGAGCUGGGUUUAAAACGUCGUGAGACAGUUUUGUCCCUAUCUGCCGUGGGCGUUGGAAGAUUGACGGGGGCUGCUCCUAGUACGAGAGGACCGGAGUGGACGCAUCACUGGUGUUCGGGUUGUCAUGCCAAUGGCACUGCCCGGUAGCUAAAUGCGGAAGAGAUAAGUGCUGAAAGCAUCUAAGCACGAAACUUGCCCCGAGAUGAGUUCUCCCUGAGACUUAGAGUCUCCUGAAGGAACGUUGAAGACGACGACGUUGAUAGGCCGGGUGUGUAAGCGCAGCGAUGCGUUGAGCUAACCGGUACUAAUGAACCGUGAGGCUUAACCUU